Molecule: transfer RNA, 61 nt
Filed under: Loxodonta africana (African savanna elephant)
Lineage: Eukaryota; Metazoa; Chordata; Mammalia; Proboscidea; Elephantidae
Rfam family: tRNA
About the family: Transfer RNA (tRNA) molecules are approximately 80 nucleotides in length.
Source: Rfam by way of RNAcentral
GCAUUCGUAACAUGCUCAGCUGCUAACUGAAAGACUGGUGGUUCGAGUCCACCCAGAGGCA